CCUACGGGAGGCAGCAGUGAGGAAUAUUGGUCAAUGGGCGAGAGCCUGAACCAGCCAAGUCGCGUGAAGGAAGACUGCCCUAUGGGUUGUAAACUUCUUUUGUCAGGGAGCAACUGCGUCUACGUGUGGUCUUAGCGAGAGUACCUGAAGAAAAAGCAUCGGCUAACUCCGUGCCAGCAGCCGCGGUAAUACGGAGGAUGCGAGCGUUAUCCGGAUUUAUUGGGUUUAAAGGGUGCGUAGGCGGACUAUCAAGUCAGCGGUAAAAAUUCGGGGCUCAACCCCGUCGUGCCGUUGAAACUGGUGGUCUUGAGUGGGCGAGAGGUAUGCGGAAUGCGUGGGGUAGCGGUGAAAUGCAUAGAUAUCACGCAGAACUCCGAUUGCGAAGGCAGCAUACCGGCGCCCAACUGACGCUGAAGCACGAAAGCGUGGGUAUCGAACAGGAUUAGAUACCCUGGUAGUC
Molecule: ribosomal RNA, 460 nt
Filed under: uncultured bacterium
Lineage: Bacteria
Description: partial 16S ribosomal RNA
Rfam family: Bacterial small subunit ribosomal RNA
Source: RNAcentral